Molecule: non-coding RNA, 32 nt
Filed under: Mus musculus (house mouse)
Lineage: Eukaryota; Metazoa; Chordata; Mammalia; Rodentia; Muridae
Source: RNAcentral
UCUCCAAGGGUGCUGAGCACCGUUUUCUCUGU